This 467-nucleotide ribosomal RNA is filed under the name uncultured bacterium. RNAcentral's name for it is "bacterial SSU rRNA". It matches the Rfam family "Bacterial small subunit ribosomal RNA", at positions 328 to 792 of the family's 1533-position model. The record is from RNAcentral.
UUUCCAGACUCCUACGGGAGGCAGCAGUGAGGAAUAUUGGUCAAUGGGCGGGAGCCUGAACCAGCCAAGUCGCGUGAGGGAAGAAGGUACUGAGUAUUGUAAACCUCUUUUGCCAGGGGACAAAGGCGGCCACGGGUGGCCGUAAGAGGGUACCUGGAGAAAAAGCAUCGGCUAACUCCGUGCCAGCAGCCGCGGUAAUACGGAGGAUGCGAGCGUUAUCCGGAUUUACUGGGUGUAAAGGGGGCGCAGACGGCAGCGCAAGCCAGGAGUGAAAGCCCGGGGCCCAACCCCGGGACUGCUCUUGGAACUGCGCGGCUGGAGUGCAGGAGGGGCAGGCGGAAUUCCUGGUGUAGCGGUGAAAUGCGUAGAUAUCAGGAGGAACACCGGUGGCGAAGGCGGCCUGCUGGACUGCGACUGACGUUGAGGCCCGAAAGCGUGGGGAGCAAACAGGAUUAGAUACCCGCGUA